CAACCUGCCCACCACUUGGGGAUAACCUUGCGAAAGUAAGACUAAUACCCAAUGAUAUCUCUAGAAGNCAUCUGAAAGAGAUUAAAGAUUUAUCGGUGAUGGAUGGGGAUGCGUCUGAUUAGCUUGUUGGCGGGGUAACGGCCCACCAAGGCAACGAUCAGUAGGGGUUCUGAGAGGAAGGUCCCCCACAUUGGAACUGAGACACGGUCCAAACUCCUACGGGAGGCAGCAGUGAGGAAUAUUGGUCAAUGGACGAGAGUCUGAACCAGCCAAGUAGCGUGCAGGAAGACGGCCCUAUGGGUUGUAAACUGCUUUUAUAAGGGAAUAAAGUGAGUCUCGUGAGACUUUUUGCAUGUACCUUAUGAAUAAGGACCGGCUAAUUCCGUGCCAGCAGCCGCGGUAAUACGGAAGGUCCGGGCGUUAUCCGGAUUUAUUGGGUUUAAAGGGAGCGUAGGCCGGAGAUUAAGCGUGUUGUGAAAUGUAGAUGCUCAACAUCUGAACUGCAGCGCGAACUGGUUUCCUUGAGUACGCACAAAGUGGGCGGGAUUCGUGGUGUAGCGGUGAAAUGCUUAGAUAUCACGAAGAACUCCGAUUG
RNAcentral lists this ribosomal RNA (595 nucleotides) under uncultured Bacteroidota bacterium. RNAcentral describes it as "bacterial SSU rRNA". It matches the Rfam family "Bacterial small subunit ribosomal RNA", at positions 122 to 715 of the family's 1533-position model. The record is from RNAcentral. Lineage: Bacteria; Pseudomonadati; Bacteroidota.